This 563-nucleotide ribosomal RNA is filed under the name uncultured bacterium. RNAcentral's name for it is "bacterial SSU rRNA". It matches the Rfam family "Bacterial small subunit ribosomal RNA", at positions 337 to 916 of the family's 1533-position model. The record is from RNAcentral.
UCCUACGGGAGGCAGCAGUGAGGAAUAUUGCACAAUGGACGAAAGUCUGAUGCAGCCACCCCGCGUGUGGGAUGAAGUUCUUGCGAACGUAAACCACCGUUAGGGAAGACGAUAAUGACGGUAUUCCCAGCGAAAGCACCGGCUAACUCCGUGCCAGCAGCCGCGGUAAUACGGGGGGUGCAAGCGUUGUCCGGAAUCACUGGGCGUAAAGGGCGCGUAGGCGGGAUUGCAAGUCUGGGGUGAAAGUUCGGGGCUUAACCUCGAAUCUGCCUUGGAAACUGCAGUUCUUGAGUUCGGUAGAGGGAUGCGGAAUUCCUGGUGUAGCGGUGGAAUGCGUAGAUAUCAGGAAGAACACCGGUGGCGAAGGCGGCAUCCUGGCCCGAUACUGACGCUGAGGCGCGAAAGCGUGGGGAGCGAACAGGAUUAGAUACCCUGGUAGUCCACGCCCUAAACGAUGUUCACUAGAUGCUGGAAGAUUCGACCCUUUCAGUGUCGUAGCUAACGCGUUAAGUGAACCGCCUGGGGAGUACGGCCGCAAGGUUGAAACUCAAAUGAAUUGACGG